Molecule: long non-coding RNA, 1052 nt
Organism: Spinacia oleracea (spinach)
Lineage: Eukaryota; Viridiplantae; Streptophyta; Magnoliopsida; Caryophyllales; Amaranthaceae
Exons: 3
Source: RefSeq, a predicted model, not a curated record
UUUUUUCUCACAGAUCCUACAUUCCAGAACUCUUUGCCUCCCCUCUCUCUUCUCUCUCAUCCUACUUUCCAAAUCUCCAUCGCUGGAACUCCAUCUCCUCCCAUCUCACCUUCAAAAAUCCAGAAUCAACCUUUUCCCUUUGAACCACCAAGCCGUACCUCUCUUUUUAUUCUGAAAAAAUUCAAUCUCUGCGACAAUGGGAAGAAGGGAAAAACCCUAGGUUUCGGCACGGGGAUCGGAGGAAGCAGGCCGGGUCGGGUCGUGGAUGAGUGAGUCGAUGGGCGAGGGGAUUGGAGGUCUCCGAAUCGAGGAACCUAGCAUUGUUGAUGCUUCUUCUACAGUGGGAGCGGCGGCGACAAAGCUUGGAGAUGACGGUGAAGUCGAAGAGUAGGAGGAAGGCCGCAACGAGGACGACGAUGAGAGCAGCCAUGAGAGGGGAGAUGCCAUUAACAGAAAACAAUUCUCCAAACUGUGGCACAACGGAAAACCAAGAGAUUUAAAAGGCUUGUUCAUGUGUGGAAAACAAUGAAUGGUUGCCAUCAAGUUCAGAGUCAUAUCUCACAGCAGGUGCUUCUUCUGACCAGUCACAACGCAGAACCAGCAACAGAGAAUCACCAUGAAGCAGCAAUGCAGCUUGAGGGUGGGUUCAGCUUCUGGUAUACUCCAUUGAAUGAGGGUUAGUGCCAUUGGUUUUCUCCCAAGGUUUACGCUGACGCUGACAUUCAGGUUUAUCGGUCCCUCAUUUGUCUUUGAAUACGCUGACGCUGACGCUGCGUGCUACGUGUGUCAUGGGAAGUUGCUUAUCCAAGCAUGAUCUCAACUCUCAAAUUGAUUUGGUAAUUGAAAUUUUGAAGCGUCCAGGAGAAGUCCUCCCUGUUUGUCUUAGUGUCGCACGAACGCUGUAAAUUCAUAAUUUAGUGUGCUUCAAUUUUAAUUUCUCGGCUUUUUUUUUCUCGGUUCAAAUUUUUAUUUUUAUUUCAUAUUGUAAUUUGUUUGAUUUUGGUCUGACAAUGGAGUUUUUUUCAUCUGCUUGAAUGAUAUCUUGGGCCUCA